Non-coding RNA from Abortiporus biennis, 94 nucleotides. Lineage: Eukaryota; Fungi; Basidiomycota; Agaricomycetes; Polyporales; Podoscyphaceae. The record is from the annotation of a GenBank genome assembly.
GACUUCUUAGCUCAGCGGUAGAGCGUGUGAUUCCAGUUUACCAUCCAUGUGAUCUGCUUCCACAAGGUCAUCCGUUCAAUCCGGGUAGAGGUCA